GAUGAAGAACGUAGCGAAAUGCGAUACGUAGUGUGAAUUGCAGAAUUCAGUGAAUCAUCGAAUCUUUGAACGCACAUUGCGCCCCUUGGUAUUCCAUGGGGCAUGCCUGUUCGAGCGUCAUUUGUACCUUCAAGCUCUGCUUGGUGUUGGGUGUUUGUCCCGCUUUUUGCGUGGACUCGCCUCAAAGCAAUUGGCAGCCGGCGUACUAGCCUGGGAGCGCAGCACAUUUUGCGCAUCUCGACUGGAACGCUUGCGUCCAUUAAGCCUACACUUUUGCUCUUGACCUCGGAUCAGGUAGGGAUACCCGCUGAACUUAAGCAUAUCAAUAAGCGGAGGA
Molecule: unclassified non-coding RNA, 337 nt
Filed under: soil metagenome
Description: partial contains 5.8S ribosomal RNA, internal transcribed spacer 2, and large subunit ribosomal RNA
Rfam family: 5.8S ribosomal RNA (bases 1-120)
Source: RNAcentral